Dicentrarchus labrax (European seabass) is the source of this 822-nucleotide long non-coding RNA. RefSeq lists it as uncharacterized. The transcript is spliced from 2 exons. The record is from RefSeq and is a predicted model, not a curated record. NCBI's taxonomy places the organism in Eukaryota, Metazoa, Chordata, Actinopteri, Moronidae.
CUCACCUAUAAAGCUCUUCAUGGUCAGGCCCCUUCAUAUCUUAAAGAGCUCAUAGUACCCUAUUACCCCACUAGAACACUACGUUCUCUGAAUGCUGGGCUACUUGUGGUUCCUAUAGUCUCUAAAAGUAGAACAGGAGCCAGAGCCUUCAGUUACCAAGCUCCUCUCCUGUGGAACCAGCUUCCAGUUGUGGUUCUGGAGGCAGACACCCUCUCCACAUUCAAGAGUAGGCUUAAGACAUUCCUCUUUGAUAAAGCUUAUAGUUAGGGCUGGAUCAGAUGAGUCCUGAACCAUCCCUUAGUUAUGCUGCUAUAGGCCUAGACUAUCGGGGAUUUCCCAUGGUGCACUGAGCUACUCUCUUCCUCUCUCUUUCUGCACUCAUUCAUGUCCCUUUAAUGCAUGUUACUAACUCCACUUCUUCCCCGGAGUUCUUGUGCUUUCUCGUCUCGCAGGUUCUCAUGGAUCCUGGUGGAGCCUCCUGCCAUGGUCCUGCUUGACUGCCAUUGCCAAUACUGUUGUUGCUGUGCACCUGUCUGUCUGUCUGUCGCUCUCUCUCUCUCUCUCUCUCUCUCUCUCUCUCACCCCAACUGGUCGAGACAGACGACCACCCACCUAGAGCCGGAGGAUCUGUCCUAGGUUUCUGCCUUUUAACAGGCAGUUUUUCCUUGCCCUUGUCGCCAAGUGCUUGCUCAUGGUGGUACUGUUGGGUCUCUGUAAUUAAUGUUAAAGAGUUCGGUCUAGACCUGCUCUAUUUGAAAAGUGUCCUGAGAUAACUUCUGUUAUGAAUUGGCGCUAUACAAAUAAAAUUGAAUUGAAUUGAAA